CGGCCCUUAACUCAGUGGUAGAGUGUAUGAUUCCAGAAAAGGAAAUUCCUGUUCCGACUCCAUAAAGUCGUCCGUUCAAUCCGGGCAGGGCUCA
This is a non-coding RNA of Mycena amicta, 94 nucleotides long. NCBI's taxonomy places the organism in Eukaryota, Fungi, Basidiomycota, Agaricomycetes, Agaricales, Mycenaceae. The record is from the annotation of a GenBank genome assembly.